This is a non-coding RNA of Ictidomys tridecemlineatus (thirteen-lined ground squirrel), 3890 nucleotides long. NCBI's taxonomy places the organism in Eukaryota, Metazoa, Chordata, Mammalia, Rodentia, Sciuridae. The record is from RefSeq and is a predicted model, not a curated record.
UGAAAUCUUUCUAUUUUGUAUUACUUUUUUUACUUCUGAUUUUAUAUAUAUGUGAACUUAAAAUUUCAUAUCUGCUAAAAUAAAACAAUUAGAACACAAGUAUGAGAUGAUAAACUGUUUAGUUAUUCCUCUCUGAUUAAAAAUUAGGUGCUUAUUCCAGAUAAUUUGAGAAAUAGAGUAAUAAUAUAAUACAUAAGGAAAGAUAAUUCUGGAAAUUCCUUAUGCUACAAAUGUAAUUCCACAUUCUAGUAGGUUUAGUGUUAAUAUUAUUUUUUGACUUUAUAUGAAUUUGUAAUAAUUGACACAAAGGAUGCUGAAUUUUCAGAUUGUGAGACUUCUUUGUCUUAAUUAAUGGAAGUCAUUAAUAUUCUGCACUGAAAUUUAGUACCAUCUCCUGCCAUAUUUGGGCUCAUUAAAUUCCACUGAGCCAUAUCCCCAGCCCUUUAUUUAUUUAUUUUUUUAUUUUGCAAGCAGGUCUUGCUAAAUUGUUUAGGGCCUUGCUUAAAUUGCUGAUGCUGGCCUUGAAUUUGGAGUUGUCCUGCCUUUGCCUCCCAAAUCCCUGGGAUUACAGGCAUGUGCCACCAUGCCCUGCUUAGGCUCAUUAUUUUUCAUACUUUCAUCUUUUCCACUAUAGUAAUUUGAGUAGAAAGUGCAAAAAAAUUGUUUUGUUCCUUUUAUGAAUUGAGCUCAGGGCCUUGCACAUGCUAGGCCAGCACUCUACUGUUGACCUAUCCCUCAAAAUGUUUUGAACUGGAGUAGUGUAUCACUCUUCCUUUAUCAUGAGGAAAUGACUAUUUCUUUAUUUCGAAGGAUAAUUCAUAUUUUUAUUCACAGAAAACAGUGUACAUUGAAACAAGUUUAGUGGCAAGUUUAGCCUUUUCAUUUUCCUCUGUAGCAAUGGGAACCCUGGGUUUUGAGUCUAGGAUGUUUUCUCUUUCAAUGAUGGCAGAUCUCAUAUCUACCAAUGUAAUUGAUCCUGGUCUAACAGCUUAGGCACUGCUUAUGUUUCUUGUGAAUUUACCUGUACUAAGGCAUUAGUGGUCCAGGUCUUUUUGAGGCUGUCCCAGUGUGACUUUUCCAUUAAUGUUAUAGUAAGGAACCCCUAUCUUAUGUCAUAGAACAGGGAGGAAGAUAACCAGAUUAAUGAGAUUCAUACCAGACACUGUAAUAAGCAGCUGUUCCUGCCAAGAUAGCACAGUACACAAAGGAAAAGUGGUCUCUUUGUUAGGACAGUCCCUUUGCCUGCUGCUUUCCUCUCACAGGGCCAACUAUCUCUGCUUCUCUCACAUUUUCUUGGAUCUGUAUUUAUGAACCAGAAGAAGCAGAGUAGUUGUUUGGCAGCCCAAGUUAUGAGUGAAUAGAUAGACACAGUAGGCACGUUUGCUGGUAUUGCCUGAUGUAGCAGGGCUAUUUGACAGAGUGGGUAAGUUUCAUUUGGAACUAUAUUCCCUGAUGACAGCCAGAACUCUUGAGUCUUUUUUCAGAUUAACCACUUUCUUGGCCUCAUUCACCAUAGCAGAAUCCAUGGCCAUCUUCUUCCCUUUAGACUUCCUCAGUUUCUUGGGUUGCUUGGGGGUGAAGGAGCAUGAAAAUGACUUUCUGAUAUGUUAACAUUGGACAGCUAAGAAUAUGGAGGAAUUUUUACAGUAUGUCUUUACUCUUUUUUUUAGAUGAGCUAUAUGGCAAUAUAAUUUCUAUACUUAUGUUUUUCCUUCUAUCCUUAUAUUCAACCUUAUUUGUCCUGUGAUCAUUACAUUAUUUUCCUCCCUUUUUUUUUGGCAAUACUGAGAGUAGAACUCAGUAUUGACCUUCCUUCCUUUUAUCUGUGUGCCCAGCCAUGUUUAUUAUUUAUUUUGCAGUAUGGUCUUGCUAGGUUGCCAAGGCUGACUUCAAAUUGUGAUACUUCUCAGUGGUACUUCUCACUGGGAUUAGAGACGUGUGCCACCAUGUCCUAUUUCUUUAUUUUCAUUUUGAAACAAGGUCUUACUAAUUUAUCAAGGCUAGCUAAAAUUUGCAAUCCUGCCUCAACUUUCCAAGUAGCUGGGAUUAUAGGCCUGCACAGCUGUGCCCAGUUUAGUCCUCAUUUUUUAUAUGAUGGCGAGGCAGAAGCAUUCUUAAUAAAGUUAACUGUAACCUAAAGUUCUAAAUAAAGAGCUUAUUUUACAUUUUAAAAUAUUUGAUUUAUGGGAAUGUGUACAUAUUGCAUAAUAUUUUUGUUCAGAAUUAUUCUAGUGUUUUCCAGAGAUUUUAUGUAAUGUUAGUAUUUUCCAGAGAUUUUAUGUAAUGAUUUUAAAGUCAGGAGGUAAAUAAGUAAUUUGAAGUUAUUUGUGGUUAGGAUGAUUGGAUCACUGGUAGUGAGGAAGUUUAGUUCAGCCAAAUAAUUUAGGGUCUGUAAUUCUGAGCUGUACUGAACUCUGCCCAUUGAUCUGAUUGAUGUAUGUGUGUUCAAUGAAAGGAAUUCAGAAAUGAUAGAUUGUUUCUUAGGGUGAGUGGUUCAAUUUCAGAAUAGAGGGAUUAAUUGAUGAUUGCAAGAAUGAAUGUAUAGAUGCAUGGUCUGGUUGGAAGAUUGAUGGAAUCACAAAUAGUUGAGAACAAGUGGCUCUAUGUCAAUUGUAGGUUGGAUACAGAAAUGUAUUUUGGAUGUUGUUAAGAAAGAAGAAAAAGUAUGAAUAUGUAAGUAUUUUAUGUAUAUAAGGUUGAUGCAUGAGUAGAAGAGGAAAUGGGGAUAAAUAUUGACAUACUUGGCAAUUUGAUAUAUACUAUGUAAAAUGAAAAACAAAUUUAUAAAAAUAUUGAUGAAUAUCUGAAAGAAUAUAUGAAUAAGUGAAAUCAGGAAAGUAAAGAUUUUAAGUUUCUGCUAGGAGUUUAUGGGUCAUGGCAGUCACUCAUGUGUUGUCACAAAGAUAGUAUUUAUUGCUGGUUCCAUUACAAUAUAAGGUUUUAUGGUUUAUUACAUCAAUGGGACGUUGUGGAAAGGAAAGUCAGAUAGUUGGUGUAUAAAUCAAUCACAUGAGCACCCUAAAGUUUAGGGAAUUUGGAAAAUGUAUUUUUUCAUGUUUAAUAAUAAUAAUUAUUAUUAAAAUAUUAUGUAAAUGAGAUAAUAGAUAUCAAUUAGCUUGAAUUAGACAUACCACAUUAUAUACAUGUCAAACAUAAUUAUGUAUAAUUUAUCUGAGAGUCAAUAAAUGUUUUGAAAUAUAUCAAUAGUGGAUAGGUAGAGGGAAACAAGGAAAUCAGGCUGGUCAGGGAAAAAAAGGGAUAUAGAAAAUAUCAGAAAUAAACAGCCAUAGGUAUUAGCAUCUGCUGCAAAUAACAUGGGUUGUAAUGACAGCAGUAGGUUGAAUUUUAUUUUUGGCUGCAUGACUUAGAAUAUUGAUAAUAUUAUUAGCAGAUGGUAAGUUGAGGAAUAUGUCCAGGAAUAUGUCCAUAUUAGGAUGAUGAAAGUAGGUUUUUAAACACUUCACUUGAUGAGUUAAUGAAGACUAUUUAAAUAAUUUCAAACAAUACUAUUUUUUUUCUUUCAUAAGCCUCUUUCACAAGCAAGGACCCAAAAGAGCUUCCCUUAAGGUGGUGACUGUGUGGAUGAUUACAACAUAUGUAUGUCCCUUCUGCAGUGGUUCCAUUCACACCAUCACCCAAAUACUGCCAUUAUUUCUCCUUUCUGGGAUCUUACUCCAUCUUUAUACCUCACAACUUUGAUAGAAGUAUGCACAAGAAUAGAAGGGACCUGCUUUUUGCUAAGUCAAAAUUUAUAACAUGUUAGAGUGCUUCAGGGAAGAGAGAGAAGAGGAGGGCUUUAAUGAGGUCUUCCAUUUCAGAAAAUAGGGGACGAGGUGGUGGGAGAGGGAGGCGUGCCUGGUGGCUGACUGGAGCAUGCCCACCUGUGCUGA